GACGAACGCUGGCGGCGUGCUUAACACAUGCAAGUCGAACGGAAAGGCCCCAGCUUGCUGGAGUACUCGAGUGGCGAACGGGUGAGUAACACGUGGGUAAUCUGCCCUGCACUCUGGGAUAAGCCUGGGAAACUGGGGCUAGUACUGGAUAUGACCUUUCUCCGUAUGGGGUUGGGUGGAAAGUUUUUCGGUGUAGGAUGAGCCCGCGGCCUAUCAGCUUGUUGGUGGGGUGAUGGCCUACCAAGGCGACGACGGGUAGCCGGCCUGAGAGGGUGAUCGGCCACAUUGGGACUGAGAUACGGCCCAGACUCCUACGGGAGGCAGCAGUGGGGAAUAUUGCACAAUGGGCGGAAGCCUGAUGCAGCAACGCCGCGUGAGGGAUGACGGCCUUCGGGUUGUAAACCUCUUUCAGCAGGGACGAAGCGUAAGUGACGGUACCUGCAGAAGAAGCACCGGCUAACUAUGUG
Molecule: ribosomal RNA, 467 nt
Filed under: uncultured bacterium
Lineage: Bacteria
Description: partial 16S ribosomal RNA
Rfam family: Bacterial small subunit ribosomal RNA
Source: RNAcentral